This 494-nucleotide ribosomal RNA is filed under the name uncultured bacterium. RNAcentral's name for it is "bacterial SSU rRNA". It matches the Rfam family "Bacterial small subunit ribosomal RNA", at positions 25 to 518 of the family's 1533-position model. The record is from RNAcentral.
CAGGAUGAACGCUGGCGGCGUGCUUAACACAUGCAAGUCGAACGGAAGUUAACGCUGACGAGACUUCGGUCAAAUCUUGUUAAACUUAGUGGCGGACGGGUGAGUAACGCGUGGGUAACCUGCCGUAUGCAGGGGGACAACAGUUGGAAACGACUGCUAAUACCGCAUAAGCGCACGGUUUUGCAUGAAACAGUGUGAAAAGAUUUAUCGGCAUACGAUGGACCCGCGUUUGAUUAGCUAGUUGGUGAGGUAACGGCCCACCAAGGCUACGAUCAAUAGCCGGCCUGAGAGGGCAAUCGGCCACAUUGGGACUGAGACACGGCCCAAACUCCUACGGGAGGCAGCAGUGGGGAAUAUUGCACAAUGGGGGAAACCCUGAUGCAGCCGACGCCGCGUGAGUGAAGAAGUAUUUCGGCAUGUAAAGCUCUAUCAGCAGGGAAGAUGAUGACGGUACCUGACUAAGAAGCCCCGGCUAACUACGUGCCAGCCGCGGC